GCCUGGCUGGCUCAGUUGGUGGAGCAUGGGACUCUGGAUCUUGGUGUUGUGAGUUCAAGCCCCAUGUUGGGUG
This 73-nucleotide transfer RNA is filed under the name Felis catus (domestic cat). It matches the Rfam family "tRNA". From Rfam's summary of the family: Transfer RNA (tRNA) molecules are approximately 80 nucleotides in length. Their secondary structure includes four short double-helical elements and three loops (D, anti-codon, and T loops). The record is from Rfam by way of RNAcentral. Lineage: Eukaryota; Metazoa; Chordata; Mammalia; Carnivora; Felidae.